This 565-nucleotide ribosomal RNA is filed under the name uncultured beta proteobacterium. RNAcentral's name for it is "bacterial SSU rRNA". It matches the Rfam family "Bacterial small subunit ribosomal RNA", at positions 71 to 633 of the family's 1533-position model. Lineage: Bacteria; Pseudomonadati; Pseudomonadota; Betaproteobacteria. The record is from RNAcentral.
ACAGGUCUUCGGAUGCUGACGAGUGGCGAACGGGUGAGUAAUACAUCGGAACGUGCCCGAGAGUGGGGGAUAACGAAGCGAAAGCUUUGCUAAUACCGCAUACGAUCUCAGGAUGAAAGCAGGGGACCGCAAGGCCUUGCGCUCACGGAGCGGCCGAUGGCAGAUUAGGUAGUUGGUGGGAUAAAAGCUUACCAAGCCGACGAUCUGUAGCUGGUCUGAGAGGACGACCAGGCCACACUGGGACUGAGACACGGCCCAGACUCCUACGGGAGGCAGCAGUGGGGAAUUUUGGACAAUGGGCGCAAGCCUGAUCCAGCCAUGCCGCGUGCAGGAUGAAGGCCUUCGGGUUGUAAACUGCUUUUGUACGGAACGAAAAGACUCUGGUUAAUACCUGGGGUCCAUGACGGUACCGUAAGAAUAAGCACCGGCUAACUACGUGCCAGCAGCCGCGGUAAUACGUAGGGUGCGAGCGUUAAUCGGAAUUACUGGGCGUAAAGCGUGCGCAGGCGGUUAUGUAAGACAGAUGUGAAAUCCCCGGGCUCAACCUGGGAACUGCAUUUGUGAC